GAUGAAGAACGUAGCAAAAUGCGAUACUUGGUGUGAAUUGCAGAAUCCCGUGAACCAUCGAGUUUUUGAACGCAAGUUGCGCCCGAAGCCUUUUGGCCGAGGGCACGUCUGCCUGGGCGUCACGCAUCGCGUCGCCCCCCACAAUUCUCCGUAAAGGGAACGUGUGUUUUGGGGGCGGAUAUUGGUCUCCCGUGCUCAUGGCGUGGUUGGCCGAAAUAGGAGUCCUUUCUAUGGACGCACGAACUAGUGGUGGUCGUAAAAACCCUCGUCUUUUGUUUCGUGCUGUUGCUCGCAAGGUAAACUCUUUAAAAACCCCAAUGUGUCGUCUCUUGACGACGCUUCGACCGCGACCCCAGGUCAGGCGGGACUACCCGCUGAGUUUAAGCAUAUCAAUAAGCGGAGGA
RNAcentral lists this unclassified non-coding RNA (404 nucleotides) under soil metagenome. Its description in RNAcentral is "partial contains 5.8S ribosomal RNA, internal transcribed spacer 2, and large subunit ribosomal RNA". The stretch from base 1 to 122 matches the Rfam family "5.8S ribosomal RNA", at positions 35 to 154 of the family's 154-position model. The record is from RNAcentral.